GUACUGGUGAUGUUUCAUUCAAAUUUCUGCCCUAUCAACUAGAUGGUAGUAUAUAGGACUACCAUGGUUGUAACGGGUAACGGAGGAUUAGGGUUUGAUUCCGGAGAAGGAGCAUGAGAAACGGCUACUAUUUCUAAGGAAAGCAGCAGGCGCGCAAAUUAUUCAAUGGAACAAUUUUCCGAAAUAGUGACAAAAAAUAUCAAUGCUGGACACUAUGUGUUUAGUAAUUGGAAUGAGUACAAUUUAAAUCCCUUAACAAGUAACAAUUAGAGGGCAAGUCUGGUGCCAGCAGCCGCGGUAAUUCCAGCUCUAAUAGCGUAUAUUAAUAUUGUUGCAGUUAAAAAGACUCGUAGUUGAAAUUUGGAACUUUAUUGUAUUGGUUAUCUUUUGAUGAACUGUAUAAUGGGUUCUUCCUACUAGAGUUCGAUUCUGUUCUUAAUUGAAUGGAGUAGCUAUCUUUCGGGUAGUCAGUUGGUUAUUAUGUCUCACUAAUGAGCAGAGA
This 502-nucleotide ribosomal RNA is filed under the name uncultured eukaryote. RNAcentral describes it as "bacterial SSU rRNA". It matches the Rfam family "Eukaryotic small subunit ribosomal RNA", at positions 281 to 774 of the family's 1831-position model. The record is from RNAcentral.